Molecule: transfer RNA, 147 nt
Filed under: Candidatus Burkholderia verschuerenii
Lineage: Bacteria; Pseudomonadati; Pseudomonadota; Betaproteobacteria; Burkholderiales; Burkholderiaceae
Description: tRNA-Ile
Source: RNAcentral
GGCGAGUUCGAUGAGCAGCUUGAGCGUCGCGUCGGUGAUGCGGUUCUUCGAGAAAUCGAUGGUGAGGCCGCCGCCUUCGAAGGUCAGGCGUUCGGCGCGCGUCGGCGCGGUAUCGUUUUGCGGCGCGAACCAGUCGCGCAUACGCUC